Molecule: ribosomal RNA, 253 nt
Filed under: uncultured bacterium
Lineage: Bacteria
Description: partial 16S ribosomal RNA
Rfam family: Bacterial small subunit ribosomal RNA
Source: RNAcentral
UACGUAGGGUGCAAGCGUUGUCCGGAAUUAUUGGGCGUAAAGAGCUCGUAGGCGGUCUGUCGCGUCGGCUGUGAAAACCCGGGGCUCAACCCCGGGCCUGCAGUCGAUACGGGCAGACUAGAGUGCGGUAGGGGAGACUGGAAUUCCUGGUGUAGCGGUGAAAUGCGCAGAUAUCAGGAGGAACACCGGUGGCGAAGGCGGGUCUCUGGGCCGUAACUGACGCUGGGGAGCGAAAGCGUGGGGAGCGAACAGG